Molecule: ribosomal RNA, 292 nt
Filed under: uncultured prokaryote
Description: partial 16S ribosomal RNA
Rfam family: Bacterial small subunit ribosomal RNA
Source: RNAcentral
GUGCCAGCAGCCGCGGUAAUACGGAGGGGGCAAGCGUUAAUCGGAAUUACUGGGCGUAAAGCGUGCGUAGGCGGCUUGGUAAGCCGGUUGUGAAAGCCCCGGGCUCAACCUGGGAAUGGCAUCCGGAACUGUCAGGCUAGAGUGCAGGAGAGGAAGGUAGAAUUCCCGGUGUAGCGGUGAAAUGCGUAGAGAUCGGGAGGAAUACCAGUGGCGAAGGCGGCCUUCUGGACUGACACUGACGCUGAGGUACGAAAGCGUGGGUAGCAAACAGGAUUAGAAACCCGCGUAGUCC